RNAcentral lists this ribosomal RNA (443 nucleotides) under uncultured bacterium. Its description in RNAcentral is "partial 16S ribosomal RNA". It matches the Rfam family "Bacterial small subunit ribosomal RNA", at positions 338 to 795 of the family's 1533-position model. The record is from RNAcentral.
CCUACGUGGUGCAGCAGUGGGGACUAUUGGGCAAUGGGCGCAAGCCUGACCCAGCAACGCCGCGUGACUGAAGAAGGCUUUCGGGUUGUAAACUUCUUUUAUUGAGGACGAAACAAAUGACGGUACUCAAUGAAUAAGCCACGGCUAACUACGUGCCAGCAGCCGCGGUAAUACGUAGGUGGCAAGCGUUAUCCGGCUUUACUGGGUGUAAAGGGCGUGUAGGCGGGACUGCAAGUCAGAUGUGAAACCCAUGGGCUGAACCCAUGGCCUGCAGUUGGAACUGUAGUUAUUGAGUGAUGGAGAGGUAGGCGGAAUUCCGGGUGUAGCGGUGAAAUGCGUAGAUAUACGGAGGAACACCAGUGGCGAAGGCGGCCUGCUGGACAUUAACUGACGCUGAGGCGCGAAAGCGUGGGGAGCAAACAGGAUUAGAUACCCUUGUAGUC